GGCGGUUCUCGGGUGAAACACCCCAGAAUCAGGCUCCCUCCUCUCUGGUUCUGGGUGCAUCACCUGAGAACCGCA
Myotis lucifugus (little brown bat) is the source of this 75-nucleotide non-coding RNA. NCBI's taxonomy places the organism in Eukaryota, Metazoa, Chordata, Mammalia, Chiroptera, Vespertilionidae. The record is from Rfam.